GCUUGAAGCCAAUCUGGAACCAGAUUCAGCAUCAGGCUUGGACUGGUGCAGGGAGAAUGAAGUGAGGAGCAUCCCCAGCUCAUGCUUGCCAAUUUGAGGUCAAGGGGAGAUGACUGAAAUCAAGAUGAUGAGAACCACUGAAGAAUUCUCCUGCACUUGAUGGGAGCGAUAAACAUGCUGGCAAGAGGAAGCCAGAAAGAUGCAUCGCCUACUUUGGCAUCUCAGAGAAGAGCAUGAAGGGCCUGAAUGAAUCCAAAUCCCAGCACCCACAUAGAGCCCUUCAGCACACAAGUGGCUUCACAAGCAAACCAAACCUGAGGAGAAUUUCUGGCACCCCCUUUAGAUACUCUUCAAUAGAGAUGCAUUCAUUUGUUUGGUGAAUUCAAGACUUCCUACUUGAGCUCUUCAUGUCCAAGGAACAACAGAACCUGUUCCCAUGUGGCCAUCUCUGGACAGAUGUUCAGCUAAUGAGAAUGCUUCUGGGAGCAGAGAUCCAAUCCCCCCCCAGGACUGGAGACCACUCUACUUCAGGAGCAGCUGCAGCUGGUGCAGAGUCUACAGGAAAGUGCAGCUCAUCUCUAUUCUUCUGACAUUUCCAGGGCACUGCACUGACUUUGCCCCCAAGGCAAAGUGGCUACUGACACGAAUAUUUGCUUAAUCAGACUGCCACGCUAGGAACCAAUUUUGUUUGAAAUCCUUUUAAUUCUGUUUUGUACAUGCAGCCUUAAGUCCUCAUGCUGGUUAAUGGAGAGUGUUUGGAUGCCCCGUGGCAGCUUGUUAACGCUCUGUUAAUGCCAAUUACAGCAGACCGUGAGUGUGGAGAAUCAGGGUGGUUGCUCUGCUGUGGAAAGGGCAUGGUUGGAGACACAUUUCUGACAACAGUCACAAAAUGCAACAAACUUCUCAGCUGAAGGGCAACAUGUAAUGAAAUAUAGGCUGGCUUUUAGAUUUGUGAUCUACAAGCACCGUGAUGUGAGAUGGGAAAGGUUCAGAACCCUGUUUGGGCACACUGUACAUGAGAUAGGAUGACAGGGCUGCUUGAACUUAGCAUCAAAUGACCUGGUAACUUUUGCUAUGAUGAGUGAUACCAAUGGAGAUGUCAGGUGUAUAUCAUGGCUGCUCUCAAAAUAACACCUAGAGAAAGGUCCUGUAACAACAAAACCUAGAAAAUAGUCUGAGCUGGGAUCACAAGAAAGUCUGAUCUCAUCAUAAGGACAUGCUUGGAUCCAUCCAGCAGCAGAAGUUUGCAAAGGACCAAAGCAAUCCCAGGGUUUGGACUCAGCAAGCCAACAGGCUGUCAAAGGCUGUUCAAAGUUUUCAGUCACUUGGCAAUUUUUAAGCAAUUUUUAUCUGUAAAAAGAGACCACAGUGUUAUAUAAGGUAGAUGUAAUUGCACAUAAACAAGUAGAGCCACAGACUUCAUUUCUGGCUCUGUUUACAAUGCCAGAACUGGCAGACUGAUGGGAUUUGUCCUAAUGAGCUAAUUGGGAAAAUUUCCCUUGUCUGUUCCAUCACAAGCUUGUUGUGCUCUAAUCAGCUACUCCUCAACAGCUUAUCAGGAACAACUGCGAGCUUUAACCUGCUGUAUUCUUCUUGGCUUUGAGAUGAGCUGUGAGUGCCUAUGAGAGCCAGAGAUUUGGACUCAGGGCUGUGGUAAGAGUCCUCAUGGCUGAAGGAUUGGGUUUUCUUCCUGCAUGUUAUUGCCCUCCCCCGUUUUCUUUUCGUUCUGUUUUGUUUUUUCCUGGGAUUCUUUUCUUCUCCUGGAUGAUUCAUCUUUUCCAUAUGGGUUGUGAUGGGAAAUAAGUCCUACCCAAGUUUGUCUUGUUCUUCUCAAAACUGCAUCUAGCUUUAAUUACCAUGGUUACCUGCAUCUCUGCACUCUAUCAGGGAGCACCGCUGAAUGCAAACCAGCUGAGAGCAGGGAAAAGAUUCUUAUUUCUACCAGCAUAAAAAAAUCUCUCUCCUGAUUCCUGUAUCCCAGGUCUGAAUUUCCCAUUGAUUUUUUUCUUUCUGUUCAUCCUGAUGAACUCUUUUGAGCACUCUGCAGGCCAAUACUUAUAGCAAAUGCUCCAGAGAGGGUAUGCACAAUAAGCCAGAGAUUCUGACCAACAACAAACAACAGAGUUAUUUCAAAACACAUUAAUCAUCCGAGCUCCUUUGUUCAGAGAACAGUGCAGGUAGCAGGAGGUUCCUAUGUACUCUUGAUCAAGCAGUGCAGCUUGAAUACAAAGAAUACAAUAAUUCACUUCUCCCUUUAAAUCUGCAUAAUUCAAUGCUUACUAAUGAUAAAACUUAGAAAGCUAAUUUGGGCAUUUGUAGUCUGCACAUCAAAGUCCACAAUACUGCAGGUGUCUCCUUACAUUUUCAUAAUUCCCUUAAUGGACUUAGGAUACCUUGCUUGGCUGUCUGUUAUGUGAUUACUUAUCUGUUAUACUCCCAAGCACCUGAAAGUUAGGACUGCAGGUUUCCGAGCAUGCCUUUUUCUUAUGGAAGAGCCAUAAGCAGCGUGAGCUGACCAUUCCUGAAUGUCAGCCCUUGUUUAUUUAAUAACAGCUGCAUUUAUCAUAGAAUCAUGGGAUGGGCUGGGAUGGAAGGGUCCUCAAAGCUCAUCUAAUUCCAGCCCCCACAAUGGUGCCCCCUCAGCUCAGGCUGCCCAUGGCCCCAUCCAUGGCCUUAGGCACCCCAAGGGAUGGGACACCCACGGCUCUGGGCAGCCUGUGCUUACACCAUAAAUGGUAAGGAAGGCUAACUGAUGAGAAAUAGCAUCCUUGUUGAUAAAUACUACUCAAUGUAAGGAUAUAGUCUGAGCAUUUUCAGUCAGGUUUUUUUCAGUAUCACAGAUAAAGUAAAGGAAGCAUUUUCUGUGACUUGUUCUGGUGUUUGUUGCCAUAAAGGAAACAAUCAGCACUUCAAGGCUAUGGGAGCCAACAGCACCAUUCAGUGGAGGUAUGGAUCUGAUAACCUAAAGCCUUCAUGAGGCUGAGCCAGGAUUAAAUCUAAGCAAACCAGAUUUACUACUCAGGUGACUUGUAAAUCUAUAGCUCAGAUGAGGAAGCAGAGCUUAUUAGCAACAGCAUGCAAAGAUAGGUGGCCUGCUUACAGAUCCAAGGAGGCAAUACACAGCUGAAUUGAUGGGUAACACUGUCACAUAACUACUUACAGACUUCUCUUAGAGCCAUAACUGCUGGUGCUUUAACCCCCCUCUAGUGUGAGGCAACCAUUUGACUGUAAUAUGUCCAGAAAAAGCUGAAAGAUCUGAGGGACAACACACGUCAGGCAUCACUCCCUUAUACAUGUGGGGCUUCACUGGGUACUAUGUAGAUCCUGGGCUUUGUUAGCACUGGAGACCCUACCAGCUCUCUAAGUAUAUUUCUUUUUCAGUACAAAUAUAUGCAGACAUUUUUAGGAGACCUUUCAGAGAAAAUCAAAUCAAAACAAUACCUCUCUGAAACAGUGGGAUUCAUCCUUCCCCAGGAACCAGUUCUACAUUGUUCAAUAAAAAGCUCGAGCAUAACCAAGAAAAAUGGCUCCAGAGUGUAUUUCUGGUUGCCAAGAAUUUAUUACUGCAGAUGCAGAUGGACGUGGCUAUUCCUAAGUAAAUAGAUUGGACCAGUUCUGAGUGCUGCAGGGGGCCGUGAGGGAUUCUCUUGAAUGCCAUCCAGCAGAAGCAAUGCCAGCCACCAAGUAAAAUAUCCUGCCAUCAAAACCCAGGCCACGUCCUUAUUUUGUCCAAAGAAGUGGACUGGUGUACUCUUCAUGGCAGUGUGACUUGUGACAGCUAACCUGUGCUGGGCCCCAUCCAGCCUUGUUGUUACAUGGGUGAUAGUGUGGUGUAGGUGUAGGUAGGUGAGGGCCUGAAAUCAUAGAAUCAUUGAAUGGCUUAGGUUGGAGGGGACCUUGAGGAUUCCAUCAGCCCACUGUGGGCCAGUUGCCCCCACCAGCCCCAUCCAGCCUGGCCUUGGGCACCUCCAGGGAUGAGGCAUCUUUGAGUCAUCUCCACCAUCUGCAAUACACCUGGUGCAUCCUUUCAUGCAUCAUGUAGAUUGGGUUAUCAGCACCUGGGGUGGAGCCAGGACAUUUUGGUUCCCACUGCAGGAGGGUUCCUCAGCAUUGCCAGACAGGAGAAGAUGAAUAACACCACAAAGCUUUCUAGCAGGGGAUGCAGGAGCCAAGGUUCCUCUUGCAGUGGACGAUCUUUGCCUCACUGUCUAUUUAGCCAAAAGAAAAAAGUAAGAGAACAAGAGACGUCUGUGUUUGCUGAAGCAGUACAAAGAAACUCUAAAGCAUCCAAAGCUCAAAGCUUCGAUGUAUAAAUCAAACAUGUUUCAGCUCACACGCCAUUUACUGCAAAUACAAUGCUGGGAAUUCAAUAUUUGCCUUCUGGAACAGGAGGUGUUUCACUGGGCCCUUCUGUGGCAUGAUAUUAUUCUUGUCCACUGACCGAAUGAGUCUCAGGCUGAAGUUUCCCCUGCAAAUGCUGGUGAUUACUGGAGCAAUUUGAAACGAUAUUCAUUUCAUGCUCAUUGUUAGAAAAGACAUCUCUGCCUGUAAAUGUGUUUGCUCGGUCAAGAGCUGAAAGCAAACAGACAAAAGAGGGACAAGCAGUCAAGGCAAUCUCUGGGAAAAGAAAUAGCUCUUCAUAGCAAAACAUUCACUUACAGUAGACUUAAGCCUCAACAAUGGCAAAGGCGCCGUGAGGGGUUUAACAUUCAGAGGAGUGAAGGGAUGAAUAAUUUGCAGUGCACCUGGUGCUCAGAGCUCAGUACCAGCUGGAGCAACCAUGGCUCAGAGAUUGUAUUGGGGACCAGAGCUCACAACAGCACGAGGCAUCUCCAGUUCGUUAUCAUGUUUGCCAUGGGGGAGAAUUGAGAUCCUGGCCUCUCUUUCCCCCAGUCCAAUUCCUUUUAAUGUUUGGUUUCUUUAACAGGUAUUUUAGAAAGAUUUCUGAAAGCAUCACUUCUAGAAGUGCCUCCCCUAUGGAUGGAUUGUGCAGCCGUGUACUCUCAAAUUGGAGUGGAAAGUAAAUUGUGUUUCGUGGAUCCAUGUGAAGACUGUCCAUGGGAAUUAUACCUUUUUGCUUUAUUUCUAAAGCUCCGAAGGAAGUGAAUUACAGAAUUAGAGUUCAUUUUACAGCUUAUUAAAA
This is a non-coding RNA of Coturnix japonica (Japanese quail), 5143 nucleotides long. Lineage: Eukaryota; Metazoa; Chordata; Aves; Galliformes; Phasianidae. The record is from RefSeq and is a predicted model, not a curated record.